Molecule: long non-coding RNA, 1488 nt
Filed under: Helianthus annuus (common sunflower)
Lineage: Eukaryota; Viridiplantae; Streptophyta; Magnoliopsida; Asterales; Asteraceae
Description: hypothetical non coding rna
Source: RNAcentral
GUAGACCAUUCCAGGUCUAAAUCAAAAAACAUAGCCAUCACUCCAUCCGCCCACAUAUUAGGGUUUUGCUACUUCACCGCUCGAAGGUAUAAUUCUUGAUUAGGGUUUUGCUACUUCCCCAUUCCAAGCGACUCUUAAUCCAUUCAAGCAACGGUAAUGAGUAACCAAUACGCAAGCAGGCAACAAAUUUGAUUUUUCAGAACGUUAUUUUUAUUUGGAGGAAGAAAAUGGCUUUGACUGUGAUGAUUAUUAGGCUUCAGUCUUAUUGAGAUGAUGUCAAACAGCUUCAGUUACGCUAUGCAACAUCACUUAUUGGAGGUCCAUCGACUCCAGCUACUUUUGUGGAUUUAUAUGCUAUUUUGAGCCCACCUUUCCUGGAAUUUAUGACAAAGAGAGGCAGGGGCGUAGCUUAGUGUAAAGUGGGGGAUGCACCCGCCCUCCAGUGUUUCGGUUAGAAAUGGGCUGCAUUUGCUUUUCCAAUUCCCUCUCGGUAUUCCGACUGUUGCCAUAAUCAUGGUUUUAAAAAACGGUUGAGGCGUGCGCCUCGAGGCGCGCCUUAAGGCGAAACGGCCAAAAAACGAUAAUAAACUACUAUUAUUGUUUUUGUAUGUUCCAUCAAGUCACCAAGUUCUUACCAUUGGGGUCUCUAUAAAGCUCUUAGAAUACAUUAGUUAUCAUUUAAUUAACUAUAUACAAAAAUAGAAAAAUGGAUGAGAAGUUUUGUUUGUCGACCAAGCCAACCCUUUUGGCCCACACAAAAACUAACCCGUUUCAGACCAGUUUUUACCCAUCAACUAGCCCACCCAUCUACAAGCUAAUAAUGAUGUUGAAGACUAUUUUUCACUUGAUAUUACGUUAAUAGAGUCCCCAUCCUUUUAAAUUAUGCUAACAAGAAACGGAUGGGAUUAUCUAUCUCUAAAGAUACUGUGUGCUUGUAUGGCUAGUGGUCCAUAGGUAGGAUAGAAGACAAGACCAAAAACUACCUGUUUAAUGGUCUCAACUCUCCAAUGAUAAUAUGGCAUCAGUUAUAACUAUAAUACAGGUAUGUUAGUUUAGUUAUGCUAAUUAUGUUUAGGAAAAAACAUUAGUUAUAACUAAAAUAACGGGUAUGUUGGUUUAUUUAUUUUGCUAAUUAUAUUUAGGAAAUAAAACAUUAGUUGUAACUAUAAUAAUGGGCAUGUAAGAAGAAAGAGUUGGAGAAAACUUCAAUAUGUGCUACUCUGUUAUUCUAUGCUGAAUGAUAGAAAAAUAUUGUAGUUGAUAAUAGGGUAUGUUAUAUGAGUUGGGCUGGGUUCUUAAAUUAAAUAAAUCUGAAUAAUUUGUACUUAUCUUUAUUCCCUUUUGUCCCUGUAGGAGCAAGCAGAUGAAUUUGAUAAACUCGUUAUACAAACUAGAAGUAUUGAAAAGGUAAACUUGAUUAUCAAGGAGCUCGUUGAGGGAAAGGAUGGAGAAGAAGAAAAGUUGAAUAGAAUUAUUGCGGGGCCGUCG